Molecule: non-coding RNA, 476 nt
Organism: Maylandia zebra (zebra mbuna)
Lineage: Eukaryota; Metazoa; Chordata; Actinopteri; Cichliformes; Cichlidae
Source: RefSeq, a predicted model, not a curated record
CUGUUUUAUAAUUUUUCUCUCGUCUGCAUGAAGAGAAUGGUGGUGACGAUCAGCUAAUUAAGCUCCUGUCUGAACAGGUCACUAUCAUGUGGUCGGAUCACUUCAGCCUAUCCUGGCCGCUCCAGGUGAUGAUGUCAUCCUGCCGUGUCGCGUGGAGCCAAAGUUUAAUGUGGCGGGGUUGACGGUGGAGUGGUCGAGGCCCGAUCGUCGUCCUGACCCCAACGACCGUCUGAGUCGAGUGGAUUAUGUUCAUCUUUACAGAGACACCCGAGAGGUCCCCGACAUGAAGAUCCCAUCGUACGUCGGGAGGACGGCGUUGUUCACAGACGGCCUGAGAGAAGGAAACAUCUCACUAAGAAUCACUAAUGUGACACAAGAAGAUGAAGGAAGAUACAGAUGUUUCAUCCCAAAGUUAAAGAGUCAAAUACAGUCUUCAAUUGUUCAUCUGAUUGUUGCUGAAACUAUGACAACAGAGA